Molecule: ribosomal RNA, 491 nt
Filed under: uncultured bacterium
Lineage: Bacteria
Description: partial 16S ribosomal RNA
Rfam family: Bacterial small subunit ribosomal RNA
Source: RNAcentral
AGUGAACGCUGGCGGUAGGCCUAACACAUGCAGUCGAACGGCAGCACAGUAAGAGCUUGCUCUUACGGGUGGCGAGUGGCGGACGGGUGAGGAAUACAUCGGAAUCUACUUUUUCGCGGGGGAUAACGUAGGGAAACUUACGCUAAUACCGCAUACGACCUACGGGUGAAAGCAGGGGAUCUUCGGACCUUGCGCGAUUGAAUGAGCCGAUGUCGGAUUAGCUAGUUGGCGGGGUAAAGGCCCACCAAGGCGACGAUCCGUAGCUGGUCUGAGAGGAUGAUCAGCCACACUGGAACUGAGACACGGUCCAGACUCCUACGGGAGGCAGCAGUGGGGAAUAUUGGACAAAGGGCGCAAGCCUGAUCCAGCCAUACCGCGUGGGUGAAGAAGGCCUUCGGGUUGUAAAGCCCUUUUGUUGGGAAAGAAAAGCAGCAGGUUAAUACCCCGCUGUUCUGACGGUACCCAAAGAAUAAGCACCGGCUAACUUCGUG